UGGGUGAAGAACGAGGCCGUGGUCGAGCGAGAGGAGAUCUGGGUGGAGAGGAAGGUGGAGCAUGUCCGACAACAUCGAGACCAGCAGUGUCCUUAACUGGUAGCAUGGAGGUAGAAUCAGAGGUAGACUGGCCCGCUGGAAGCCUAUUGGCUGAAAGGGCACGAGAUCUAGCCGCUUCUGAAGACAAAGUAGGAGGAUUCAUGGCUGUUUGCCAAAGGGGAGGUGACCAGCACAUCAUACCCAUAACAUUAGGAACAACCAAGAUAAUACCACCAGCAACUCCUG
Molecule: non-coding RNA, 285 nt
Organism: Pogona vitticeps (central bearded dragon)
Lineage: Eukaryota; Metazoa; Chordata; Lepidosauria; Squamata; Agamidae
Source: RefSeq, a predicted model, not a curated record